This is a non-coding RNA of Mycena galericulata, 97 nucleotides long. Lineage: Eukaryota; Fungi; Basidiomycota; Agaricomycetes; Agaricales; Mycenaceae. The record is from the annotation of a GenBank genome assembly.
GGCUUGGUAGCAGAUGGUCUGCGUCUGCCUUCAAUGCAGGGGAUGUUUUUAUAAUUGUGCAGAUCAUUUAAUGCCUGUUCAACUCGGGCCUGAGCCA